AGGAGCGCCCUUUGAAACUGUCGGACUGCACUUUACAUAGCACCGAAGCCUUACUGCCGGACCGCACUUUCCACAUUGCCGGAGCCCUUUUACACAACCCCGGAGCCUUACUACCGGACCGCACUUUACACAUUGCCGCCCUAGUGCCAGACCACACCUUACACAAUGCCGGAGCGUUACUACCGGACUAUACGUAUACAAUGCCAGAGCCCUAUUUUGGUGGGAUAGAGGAGAGAGACGUGGGUAGGGUAAAAGUAAAGAAGGGUAGUUUAAAUAUAUUUUUUAUUUUUUGGUUGGCGGUAUUUGUAAAAAAAAAAAAGUGUUUGCAUAGAAAAUGUAUUUUAGAGGAAAAACUGA
RNAcentral lists this long non-coding RNA (357 nucleotides) under Amborella trichopoda. RNAcentral's name for it is "long non-coding RNA (ATRI_LNC000524)". Lineage: Eukaryota; Viridiplantae; Streptophyta; Magnoliopsida; Amborellales; Amborellaceae. The record is from RNAcentral.